UACAGAGGGUGCAAGCGUUAAUCGGAUUUACUGGGCGUAAAGCGCGCGCAGGCGGCUAUCCAAGUCAGUGGUGAAAGCCCGGAGCUCAACUCCGGAACUGCCAUUGAAACUGUUUAGCUUGAGGAUGAGAGAGGUGAGUGGAAUUCCCAGUGUAGAGGUGAAAUUCGUAGAUAUUGGGAAGAACACCGGUGGCGAAGGCGGCUCACUGGCUCAUUACUGACGCUCAGGCGCGAUAGCGUGGGGAUCAAACAGG
Molecule: ribosomal RNA, 253 nt
Filed under: uncultured bacterium
Lineage: Bacteria
Description: partial 16S ribosomal RNA
Rfam family: Bacterial small subunit ribosomal RNA
Source: RNAcentral